RNAcentral lists this transfer RNA (72 nucleotides) under Stegodyphus mimosarum. It matches the Rfam family "tRNA". From Rfam's summary of the family: Transfer RNA (tRNA) molecules are approximately 80 nucleotides in length. Their secondary structure includes four short double-helical elements and three loops (D, anti-codon, and T loops). Lineage: Eukaryota; Metazoa; Arthropoda; Arachnida; Araneae; Eresidae. The record is from Rfam by way of RNAcentral.
GAAUUCGUGGUGGAAUGGUUAGCACACUCGACACGUAUUCGAGAGGUACAAGUUCGAGUCCCGACGAGUGCA